CCUACGGGUGGCAGCAGUAGGGAAUCUUCGGCAAUGGACGGAAGUCUGACCGAGCAACGCCGCGUGAGUGAAGAAGGUUUUCGGAUCGUACAGCUCUGUUGUAAGAGAAGAACGAGUGUGAGAGUGGAAAGUUCACACUGUGACGGUAUCUUACCAGAAAGGGACGGCUAACUACGUGCCAGCAGCCGCGGUAAUACGUAGGUCCCGAGCGUUGUCCGGAUUUAUUGGGCGUAAAGCGAGCGCAGGCGGUUAGAUAAGUCUGAAGUUAAAGGCUGUGGCUUAACCAUAGUACGCUGUGGAAACUGUUUAACUUGAGUGCAAGUGGGGAGAGUGGAAUUCCAUGUGUAGCGGUGAAAUGCGUAGAUAUAUGGGGGAACACCGGUGGCGAAAGCGGCUCUCUGGCUUGUAACUGACGCUGAGGCUCGAAAGCGUGGGGAGCAAACAGGAUUAAAUACCCUUGGAGUC
This 465-nucleotide ribosomal RNA is filed under the name uncultured Streptococcus sp. RNAcentral describes it as "bacterial SSU rRNA". It matches the Rfam family "Bacterial small subunit ribosomal RNA", at positions 338 to 795 of the family's 1533-position model. The record is from RNAcentral. Lineage: Bacteria; Bacillati; Bacillota; Bacilli; Lactobacillales; Streptococcaceae.